This is a small nucleolar RNA of Trichomycterus rosablanca, 167 nucleotides long. RefSeq annotates it as small nucleolar RNA SNORD97. The transcript has a single exon. The record is from RefSeq and is a predicted model, not a curated record. Lineage: Eukaryota; Metazoa; Chordata; Actinopteri; Siluriformes; Trichomycteridae.
GCACCCGGUGAUUAUAAAAAGACGCGUUAUUCUGAGGGUUUUACCAGAUGCCAGUUUUCAGUCUUUUCUCCUCUUUACAAUUUCUUCCUAUUUAUCUUUCUUUACCUCUUUUCUUCUCUGACGCUGACAGCUGGUCCUUUGAUUGCGAUUAUGAGAUAUGAGGGUGC